CUGCUGGAGCGGGAGCUGCGACGAGGCUGGGGCUCGGGCGCGUUGUACGGGAGUGAAAAUGACUGCAAGGUGAAAAUUUCUGCUCUCCCCAGUAGGUACAGUUAGUAUGAAAUAGGAGUAAUACAUCCUAGACCCAGCUCUCCAUUAUUAGAAUUUGGUUGCUACUUCUUGCUGAUCAGUUACGAAGUAUUAAUUCAAGUAAUUUGUUAUGUAUAAUUUGUCAAAAGCAAUUGGAUGUUAAUCUGCUAUGGGCAGCGGCGGUGCAUCAAGGUGCAAGGCAGCAGCGACAUGUUCAUAGUACGCUAAAGGAUGAACUCCUACUUUUUCUGAUGCUAGCUCCUUGCUGCAGGAUAUGCAUUGUGCUUAAACAUGAGUGCUCGCUUGCUGAACGUUGGCCCUCGGAUGAAUUCGACGCUUGAAUCGAGCUGACGAGCCCCAUGGCGGUGAGAGGCGGAUAACAAUACGAGAAGGAGCAUGCCAUCGAGGAGUGCAAGCAGCGGCACUCCUCCGCAAUGGGGUAUGGCUGCGGGGGAGGGGACGCGGCCAACGACAGGAAGAAGGAGCAGGUCGUCGAGGACUACAAGCAGCAGGAUUAUUUUUGGCCCAUACAGUUUCCUUUGACUGGAAGUCUGAAACUGAAGAUAGGGCAUAUUGUUUUGGUUCUGAGUGGCCGGAGAUAUUGUGGCUUGAUGUCCCUAGAGCAAUCGGACCCUUCCAAGAUAGCAGAAGAUCUUUGGGAUUGACGUUCUGAUGAGAAAGUAGCAUACGGAUGGAUGGACAUGAACUAUUCAGUGGUCGAACUGCGCUAUAUUUCUUUCAUUGAGGCGAGGGUGAUUCCAGUAGAUUUUGCUUGGCGUACUCGCCUUUUUUUAUUGAAGUUGGGUGUCCGUCUUCUCUGCGGCAAGGAUCUGGGGAGUCAGAUUGCGGAUUACAUGUAGUGGGGAAGUAGAGAGGGGGACGAGGAAGAGGACACCGUCGGUGGCGUGCUAUAUCUCACUAGGCGACAAUGUCGAGAGCGUGCCUGGCAUCAAGAACCUGACAUGCUUUUCCGAGUGUUAGUUGAGGUGAGCCACCUGGGCCGGUCUAUGGGUUGAGGUGGUUUGAUAAUCCUGGGUUGUUUUUCUUUUUCCUGCGUUUUUUUUCAGGAAAUGACUUUAUUUAUUGGAAAAUGGCAAUAUCGUUUACAAGUAUACAUGAAACAAACUAUUUUUCCUACGCCUCUUUGUUCUGUGUAAUGGUGCUCUUGGUUGAGUGUGCUGACGAAAGAGAUUCCAUGCUACAGGCUAGGUAGCUUCUCAGUAACUCUUCGUGAUUUGCUUGCAAUGUUAUACUUUGCAAAAUUGUUCCUUGCAAUCCUAAAAUGGUUUCUCAAAACAUGGGAAAAAUUACAUUCUAAAAAUUGUAGGCACACUGAGUGAAGCAUAUAUAUAAAUUCUAUUAUAACAGAGGUCAGGUAUAUAUAUGCAAGUUGUUAUAAUAUGAUUUUAUUAGAAUAGAGGUCAGGUACUGCCAUGGCGUAAGGAGGGAGUGACACCAAGUUUUAUAUAUAUUGUGAUUUCAGUUUUCAUCAAUGUCGCUAUUAUUAUUAUCUCUUUGUAACUUCAUAUAAAAUCAGUACUGACAUGGUCAUCUUACAGUGUAAAAAUGGUAGGUGGUAGAAUCAUAACCUGUGACUGAGUGCCUUAAGAAGUUCUUUUCAUUAUUGUUAAUUAAUAUAAUGUUUAGGGCCAGUUUAUAUGCGUCGUCGAAAAAUAUGAGUAAAAUCAGUGAAUAUUUUGCAUUGCCUUGGUGUUUGGUGUGUCUAUUGCAUAAUCCUUUUCUUUUUUGCUUCUCUUUCCAAGCAAGGACCAGGCUGGGAACAUAUGUUUAUAAUGAAGUUCUUUCAUUGCACAUCUAUGCUGUCGCGGCAACACAGGCCAAAACACAUUCAGGAAAUAUGUCACCAACUUCCCCAAGGUCCCGCAUCGUCUACUCAGGAUAUUCUGUGCCCCAAGCCCUACAGAAUAAUGCCCAGUCUAAUUUCAGCAGUGGGCAUGACAGCCUCAAACUUCUCUCUUCAAUAUUGAAGAAGCGGCUUACUCAGAUCAAUGGGCAUGCACCAUGCACUUAGAAAAAUAGCUAAAGAGUACACGAUAUUCCUAGAGUAAAUAAAGGGCAUGUUGUGCUCAUAAGUUAGACAGAAGCAAAAUGUUAUUUAUUAUGCUCCUGUUGUAUCCUCGGACAUUUUCUUCCACCUACAAAUACCACAGUAUUGAAUAUCUACUUUCCCACUGUUGUAUUGAUAACCCACAAGUAUAGGGGAUUGCAACAGCUUUUGAGGGUAGAGUAUUCAACCCAAAUUUAUUGAUUCGACAUAAGGGAA
Non-coding RNA from Triticum urartu, 2362 nucleotides. The record is from RefSeq and is a predicted model, not a curated record. NCBI's taxonomy places the organism in Eukaryota, Viridiplantae, Streptophyta, Magnoliopsida, Poales, Poaceae.